UACAGAGGUCUCAAGCGUUGUUCGGAUUCAUUGGGCGUAAAGGGUGCGUAGGCGGAUCUUUAAGUCGGGGGUGAAAUCCUGGAGCUCAACUCCAGAACUGCCUUCGAUACUGGCGAUCUCGAGUCCGGAAGAGGUGAGUGGAACUCCUAGUGUAGAGGUGGAAUUCGUAGAUAUUAGGAAGAACACCGGUGGCGAAGGCAGCUCACUGGUCCGAUACUGACGCUGAGGUGCGAAAGCGUGGGGAGCAAACAGG
RNAcentral lists this ribosomal RNA (253 nucleotides) under uncultured bacterium. RNAcentral describes it as "partial 16S ribosomal RNA". It matches the Rfam family "Bacterial small subunit ribosomal RNA", at positions 524 to 776 of the family's 1533-position model. The record is from RNAcentral.